AUUUGGAGCUUAUAUUCUGAACUAAUCGACCAGUCUCUCAGGUGGAAGGGUUUGAGCAUGAGGACAAAGGUGAUUUUGCAACCUCACCAAAGCAUUUCAGGACUAUAACAACAAAAUGGCGCAAUUACAUCUAUUCAUGGACUUUGACAUAGAAACAAGGCUUUUGAAUUGGUAAUGGGAGGUGACUGCGUGAACAAAGACUUGCCGUUGCCCUUGCUGCUGUUGUGGGACAAAGACAGCGCAGAGAAGGCCAAAUAAAAGGCUCAAUGCGCAGCAGAAAAUCCAGGCACAAACACAUCUAAACAUGUAUAUAUGUGCGUUGCCUUACCAGAUAAUACAACACUGAAAAAAAAAAUUCCAAUUCAAGGCACAUAUUGACAGC
This is a long non-coding RNA of Prunus mume (Japanese apricot), 382 nucleotides long. RefSeq lists it as uncharacterized. The record is from RefSeq and is a predicted model, not a curated record. Lineage: Eukaryota; Viridiplantae; Streptophyta; Magnoliopsida; Rosales; Rosaceae.